CGGCUGCUUACCAUGCAGUCGAGCGGUAAGGCCCUUCGGGGUACACGAGCGGCGAACGGGUGAGUAACACGUGAGCAACCUGCCCCUGACUCUGGGAUAAGCGGUGGAAACGCCGUCUAAUACCGGAUACGACCCGCCACCUCAUGGUGGAGGGUGGAAAGUUUUUCGGUCAGGGAUGGGCUCGCGGCCUAUCAGCUUGUUGGUGGGGUAACGGCCUACCAAGGCGAUUACGGGUAGCCGGCCUGAGAGGGCGACCGGCCACACUGGGACUGAGACACGGCCCAGACUCCUGCGGGAGGCAGCAGUGGGGAAUAUUGCGCAAUGGGCGAAAGCCUGACGCAGCGACGCCGCGUGGGGGAUGACGGCCUUCGGGUUGUAAACCUCUUUUACCACCAACGCAGGCUCGAAGUUUUCUUCGGGUUGACGGUAGGUGGGGAAUAAGGACCGGCUAACUACGUGCCAGCAGCCGCGGUAAUACGUAGGGUCCGAGCGUUGUCCGGAAUUAUUGGGCGUAAAGAGCUCGUAGGCGGCGUGUCGCGUCUGCUGUGAAAGACCGGGGCUUAACUCCGGUUCUGCAGUGGAUACGGGCAUGCUAGAGGUAGGUAGGGGAGACUGGAAUUCCUGGUGUAGCGGUGAAAUGCGCAGAUAUCAGGAGGAACACCGGUGGCGAAGGCGGGUCUCUGGGCCUUACCUGACGCUGAGGAGCGAAAGCAUGGGGAGCGAACAGGAUUAGAUACCCUGGUAGUCCAUGCCGUAAACGUUGGGCGCUAGGUGUGGGGACUUUCCACGGUUUCCGCGCCGUAGCUAACGCAUUAAGCGCCCCGCCUGGGGAGUACGGCCGCAAGGCUAAAACUCAAAGGAAUUGACGGGGGCCCGCACAAGCGGCGGAGCAUGUUGCUUAAUUCGACGCAACGCGAAGA
This 920-nucleotide ribosomal RNA is filed under the name Nocardiopsis sp. 6G50. RNAcentral describes it as "bacterial SSU rRNA". It matches the Rfam family "Bacterial small subunit ribosomal RNA", at positions 40 to 967 of the family's 1533-position model. The record is from RNAcentral. Lineage: Bacteria; Bacillati; Actinomycetota; Actinomycetes; Streptosporangiales; Nocardiopsidaceae.